GCAUGGGUGAAUUCUGCACUAGCUUUCCUCAGUAGCUGAUGCAGUCAGACACCAUGCCAGAGCAAAUUCCUUUUUUUCCACUGUGCCUGGUGUGCUUUUUUUAUGGGAAUGGGCAUGCCCUUGGAAGGGGAAUACAUAA
Molecule: small nucleolar RNA, 139 nt
Organism: Corvus moneduloides (New Caledonian crow)
Lineage: Eukaryota; Metazoa; Chordata; Aves; Passeriformes; Corvidae
Source: Ensembl